AUUGAACGCUGGCGGCAGGCCUAACACAUGCAAGUCGAACGGUAACAGGAAACAGCUUGCUGUUUCGCUGACGAGUGGCGGACGGGUGAGUAAUGUCUGGGAAACUGCCUGAUGGAGGGGGAUAACUACUGGAAACGGUAGCUAAUACCGCAUAACGUCGCAAGACCAAAGAGGGGGACCUUCGGGCCUCUUGCCAUCGGAUGUGCCCAGAUGGGAUUAGCUAGUAGGUGGGGUAACGGCUCACCUAGGCGACGAUCCCUAGCUGGUCUGAGAGGAUGACCAGCCACACUGGAACUGAGACACGGUCCAGACUCCUACGGGAGGCAGCAGUGGGGAAUAUUGCACAAUGGGCGCAAGCCUGAUGCAGCCAUGCCGCGUGUAUGAAGAAGGCCUUCGGGUUGUAAAGUACUUUCAGCGGGGAGGAAGGGAGUAAAGUUAAUACCUUUACUCAUGGACGUUACCCGCAGAAGAAGCACCGGCUAACUCCGG
RNAcentral lists this ribosomal RNA (489 nucleotides) under uncultured bacterium. RNAcentral's name for it is "partial 16S ribosomal RNA". It matches the Rfam family "Bacterial small subunit ribosomal RNA", at positions 30 to 506 of the family's 1533-position model. The record is from RNAcentral.